This 480-nucleotide ribosomal RNA is filed under the name uncultured bacterium. RNAcentral's name for it is "partial 16S ribosomal RNA". It matches the Rfam family "Bacterial small subunit ribosomal RNA", at positions 28 to 507 of the family's 1533-position model. The record is from RNAcentral.
GAUGAACGCUGGCGGCGUGCUUAACACAUGCAAGUCGAACGGAACUACUCCAAUGAGAGUCUUCGGAAAGGAUUUGGUUUAGUUUAGUGGCGGACGGGUGAGUAACGCGUGGGUAACCUGCCCUAUACAGGGGGAUAACAGUUGGAAACGACUGUUAAUACCGCAUAAGCGCUCAGGAGCGCAUGCUCCGGUGUGAAAAACUCCGGUGGUAUAGGAUGGACCCGCGUCUGAUUAGCUGGUUGGCGGGGUAACGGCCCACCAAGGCGACGAUCAGUAGCCGGCCUGAGAGGAUGAACAGCCACAUUGGGACUGAGACACGGCCCAAACUCCUACGGGAGGCAGCAGUGGGGAAUAUUGCACAAUGGGGGAAACCCUGAUGCAGCGACGCCGCGUGAGCGAAGAAGUAUCUCGGUAUGUAAAGCUCUAUCAGCAGGGAAGAAAAUGACGGUACCUGACUAAGAAGCCCCGGCUAACUACGUG